Molecule: transfer RNA, 71 nt
Filed under: Bulbochaete rectangularis var. hiloensis
Lineage: Eukaryota; Viridiplantae; Chlorophyta; Chlorophyceae; Oedogoniales; Oedogoniaceae
Description: tRNA-Cys
Rfam family: tRNA
About the family: Transfer RNA (tRNA) molecules are approximately 80 nucleotides in length. Their secondary structure includes four short double-helical elements and three loops (D, anti-codon, and T loops).
Source: RNAcentral
GGUUGGGUCGUAUAAUGGUAAUACGUAAAAUUGCAAAUUUUAUUAUGGUGGUUCAAUUCCGCCCUCAACCU